RNAcentral lists this unclassified non-coding RNA (332 nucleotides) under Hevea brasiliensis (rubber tree). Lineage: Eukaryota; Viridiplantae; Streptophyta; Magnoliopsida; Malpighiales; Euphorbiaceae. The record is from RNAcentral.
GAAAUAAAUAGUGAUGGAAUAGUGAAUGAGGUACUGUCUUGACUCUAAAGUGCAGUCUCAUUCUUGUCCAUUCCUUUCUAUUUAUCCAAAGCAAUUAGUCCCUAUGAUCAAGCAUGAGAAGUUUUGAUAUUGUUGACAUUCCUUCUUCGGUUAUACUUGGAGUAUGUCGCCCCAUCCGGGUCUAUAUUAAGUCAUCCAUGUUCUUAUUUAUUCCUACAUAUAUCAUCUGUUGUUAUGACUUCUAUUUUUUUAUAGUUAAGCUGCUAUGUCGCAUCAUUAAGAGAGUUUUUUUUUUUAAAGAAGAGCCCUCACAAAUUAUCUACCUAAUUCAU